This 491-nucleotide ribosomal RNA is filed under the name uncultured bacterium. Its description in RNAcentral is "bacterial SSU rRNA". It matches the Rfam family "Bacterial small subunit ribosomal RNA", at positions 19 to 507 of the family's 1533-position model. The record is from RNAcentral.
AUGGCUCAGAUUGAACGCUGGCGGCAUGCCUUACACAUGCAAGUCGAACGGUAACAGCACUUCGGUGGCUGACGAGUGGCGGACGGGUGAGUAAUACAUCGGAACGUGCCCGAUCGUGGGGGAUAACUACUCGAAAGAGUGGCUAAUACCGCAUACGAUCUACGGAUGAAAGCGGGGGAUCGCAAGACCUCGCGCGGACGGAGCGGCCGAUGGCAGAUUAGGUAGUUGGUGGGAUAAAAGCUUACCAAGCCGACGAUCUGUAGCUGGUCUGAGAGGACGACCAGCCACACUGGGACUGAGACACGGCCCAGACUCCUACGGGAGGCAGCAGUGGGGAAUUUUGGACAAUGGGGGAAACCCUGAUCCAGCCAUGCCGCGUGCAGGAUGAAGGCCUUCGGGUUGUAAACUGCUUUUGUACGGAACGAAAAGACUCUUUCUAAUACAGAGGGUCCAUGACGGUACCGUAAGAAUAAGCACCGGCUAACUACGUG